This 492-nucleotide ribosomal RNA is filed under the name uncultured bacterium. Its description in RNAcentral is "partial 16S ribosomal RNA". It matches the Rfam family "Bacterial small subunit ribosomal RNA", at positions 28 to 507 of the family's 1533-position model. The record is from RNAcentral.
GAUGAACGCUAGCUAUAGGCUUAACACAUGCAAGUCGAGGGGAAACGGCAUUAUGUGCUUGCACAUUUUGGACGUCGACCGGCGCACGGGUGAGUAUCGCGUAUCCAACCUGCCCUUUACUUGGGGAUACCCCGUUGAAAGACGGCCUAAUACCCGAUGUAAUUCAUUGAUGGCAUCAGAUAUGAAUAAAAGAUUUAUCGGUAAAGGAUGGGGAUGCGUCUGAUUAGCCUGUUGGUGAGGUAACGGCUCACCAAGGCGACGAUCAGUAGGGGUUCUGAGAGGAAGGUCCCCCACAUUGGAACUGAGACACGGUCCAAACUCCUACGGGAGGCAGCAGUGAGGAAUAUUGGUCAAUGGGCGCAAGCCUGAACCAGCCAAGUAGCGUGCAGGAAGACGGCCCUAUGGGUGGUAAACUGCUUUUAUACGAGAAUAAUUUGAUGCACGUGUGCGUUAUUGCAUGUAUCGUAUGAAUAAGGACCGGCUAAUUCCGUG